GUCCUAGCCGUAAACGGUGAUCACUAGGUGUUGGAGGCAUCGACCCCUCCAGUGCCGCAGCUAACGCAUUAAGUGAUCCGCCUGGGGAGUACGGCCGCAAGGUUGAAACUCAAAGGAAUUGACGGGGGCCCGCACAAGCGGUGGAGCAUGUGGUUUAAUUCGACGCAACGCGAAGAACCUUACCCAGGCUUGACAUGCACUAGACGGGUGUGGAAACACACCUUCCCUUCGGGGCUGUGCACAGGUGCUGCAUGGCUGUCGU
This 262-nucleotide ribosomal RNA is filed under the name uncultured bacterium. RNAcentral describes it as "partial 16S ribosomal RNA". It matches the Rfam family "Bacterial small subunit ribosomal RNA", at positions 793 to 1055 of the family's 1533-position model. The record is from RNAcentral.